This 67-nucleotide transfer RNA is filed under the name Marmota monax (woodchuck). RNAcentral describes it as "tRNA.Ala". The record is from RNAcentral. Lineage: Eukaryota; Metazoa; Chordata; Mammalia; Rodentia; Sciuridae.
GGUUGUAGCUCAGUGGUAGAGCACUUGCCUAGCAUGUGUGAGGCACUGAGUUCAAUCCCCGACACCA